Molecule: signal recognition particle RNA, 93 nt
Filed under: Myxococcales bacterium
Lineage: Bacteria; Pseudomonadati; Myxococcota; Myxococcia; Myxococcales
Description: signal recognition particle sRNA small type
Rfam family: Bacterial small signal recognition particle RNA
About the family: The signal recognition particle (SRP) is a universally conserved ribonucleoprotein involved in the co-translational targeting of proteins to membranes. Archaeal SRP consists of a 7S RNA and homologues of the eukaryotic SRP19 and SRP54 proteins.
Source: RNAcentral
GCGUGUGGCCUCACCGACUUGGAAGCGUGAACCCCGCCAGGCCCGAGAGGGAGCAACGGUAGCGUGGAAGAGUGUGGUGGGGCUUUGACCUUU